Molecule: long non-coding RNA, 43385 nt
Filed under: Ananas comosus (pineapple)
Lineage: Eukaryota; Viridiplantae; Streptophyta; Magnoliopsida; Poales; Bromeliaceae
Description: long non-coding RNA (ACOM_LNC025108)
Source: RNAcentral
AAAAAAAAAAAAAAAAAAAAAAAAAAAAGUGCUAAAUUGAUCCGGGCAGCGGUUCCCACUCCUUCAGCAGUUUCUUGAGACUGUUUACCGCUACCCCUGGGUUAGGCCAGAUAUUCCGGAAGAUCAUAUCGUUCCUGGCCUUCCAGAUAAUCCACCAACACCCUACUAGGUCAAUGAGACCGGAGUGCUUGUUCAGGUGUGUGUUUUUCUCCGUCCACCUGUCCCAAACUAGGUUCACAUCGACCCCUAGGUCACGAGCUUGGAUGUCUUCCACCCCUGUCACCAAUACAAACUUACCAAAUACACACCUGGUGAAUAGAUGUUCCGCUGAUUCAACCUCCACCCCACAAAGCACACAGGUUGGAUCCUGAAUCCACCCUCGCUUGACAAGCCUAUCUCUUGUGAGGAUCCUUUUCUUGAGAAGCAGCCACACGAAAACUUUAACUUUCAGCGGGAUUGUGAGACUCCAAAUACGUGUGGCUCGUUCAUCUCUCGUGCCGCCGUCCGACAAAGCCGAAUAGGUGGAUUUGACCGAGAAUUUGCCAUUGGGGCUCCAUCUCCAAAGUAACCUAUCAGAUCCCUGCUCGACGGAGAAGCUAGAUACCGUUUGCAUUAAUUCCGAGAUGCCUGGUACCCACCCAAGAGCUUGUCCCACCUCGCUUCCCAGGAUCUUGGACCAGUUCCAAUUUUCCCCUGUAAGGCAUUCGCUUACUCUAAGAUUUUUCCCCACCGACCCUUGGUAAGCUUCCGGGAACGUCCGGUUCAACGUUUUCUCUCCACACCACCGAUCUUGCCAGAAAUCGAUGCUACUCCCGUUACCCAGAGAAAACGCCGUCCCCCAUUUAAAGAUGGUAGAUACCGAAAGGCAACCUUUCCACCAGCUAGAGAAUGGCCUAAAGGAUGUACCUUCCCUGAGGGGUAUCCUUCUGCGAUAGUACAGAUCGCGUGUUAGCUUAUUCCACAGUAGUUCAGGUUCAGUGUGGAAUUUCCACCACCACUUGGUCAGAAGGGUCUGAUUCAUGAUCUCCAUGUCCAAGAUCCCUAACCCACCUUCUUUCUUGGACCUGCAGACGUUUUUCCAAGCCACCAAACAACCCAUGCCAACCUUGUUGCGACUACCGCACCAGAAAAAAUCUCUUCUAAUGGCUUCAAUCUGCUUAAUCACCCAAGCGGGUGCCUUAAAGACAGAUAAAAAAUAUAGGGGUAUGCUGGUUAACACUGCAUUAACCAGGAUGAGUCUCCCUCCCCUAGAAAGAAGUUUAGCUUGCCAGCCCUCAAUUUUACGCUGAAUCUUCUGAAUGAUUCCAGUCCACACUUCCUUGGACGGUGGGUUAGGGGAGAGAGGUAAGCCCAAAUAUAAGGCCGGGAGGGUGCCGACUCUACACCCGAGAGUAUUAGCUAACCUCGUUCCUUUGCCUUCCUCCUGCCCCAGGUAGUAGAGCUCCGACUUCUCCCUAUUGAUUUUCAUACCGGAUGCCCAUUCGAAAAGCCUCCAUAGAAACCUCAGGUUUUUCAUGAACCUGUUUCUAGCCGUGCAGAAGAAAAAGGUAUCGUCCGCAAACUGGAUGAGAGUGACCUUACAAGCCCCAGACGGACCAAUUCCCUUGAUGAAAUUAUUAGUGGUUGCCUCUUUGGUCAUUCGUGCCAAACAUUCCGCCACCAAAAGAAAGAGGAAUGGCGAGAGUGGGUCCCCCUGUCUUACACCUCUCCUCGUCUUAAUCCACUUGGUCGGUUCGCCGUUCACAAGGAUCGCCACUUUUGCAUCACACACACAUGUUUCUAUCCAACCGCACCAAGUAUCAUUGAAUCCCCACCAUCGUAAUAUUUGAAAAAGGAAUGGCCACAAAAUCCUAUCAUAGGCCUUCUCAAAGUCCACCUUAACCCCCACGCCGUCAACCGCCUUUUUAAUCCCCCAACUAACAAGCUCGGAAACAGAGGCAAAUGCAUCGGUAAUGUUCCUGCCUUUCAAGAAGGCAGAUUGGGUCGGGGAUAUCAAGCCCUUCAUGACUUGCUCCAAUCUGUUGGCCAAGACCUUAGAUAUUAUUUUUUGAAUCCCGUUCAACAGACUUAUAGGUCGAAAAUCAUUAGCCUGGGUGGCCCCCUCCUUCUUCGGAAUAAGAGUAAUGAAGGUAUAAUCGAUAGCGGCGGAGGAAUGACUCCCCUCGUGCAGUUCCUUAAAAACGCUCAAUAAAUCCUCCUUGACCGUGUCCCAGAACGUUUGGUAGAAGUUAAGUGGAAAGCCGUCCGGUCCUGGUGCCUUGUCACCCCCCAACUGGAACACUGCUUCCUUGAUUUCUUGUAAGUUAAACGGCUCUGUCAACCUCGAGAGAUUGGUAUCUGUUACUCGGUCGGAUAUGAAUAGCCUGGUCCAAUCCCCAAAGGAAGUCGGAUUUGACGCGUCGGGAGUGAAGAUUGACUUAAAGGAACGGUAGAAGUAGUGUCGCUUAUCCUCUUCAGAUUGGUAGCUGAUACUAUUAUCUUCCAUCGUGCCGAUCCAGUUAGCUCUACGCCUACCAUUUGCGACCGAGUGAAAGAAUUUAGUGUUACCGUCCCCCUCACGAAGCCAAUGUUGUUUGGCCCGAGUUUUCCAUAGAGAGGUCUCGUCACUCAAAACCCUCGUCAACUCAUCCUUUAGAGCCGCUCUCUUAUUUCUAUACUCAGGCUCCAGAUUGUCCGCUUCUUCUGCUUCGUCUAUUCUCUGUAUUUCGUCCAUCAGUCUCGUCUUAGCUUUUCUGAUGCUGUAGAACACAUUAGUGCACCAUUCUUUGAUCCUCACCCGGCAAUGUCUCAACUUUGCGGUGAACGAUAAAAUCGCCGAUUUCCCUUGGUUGCCUAGGGACCCCUCCCUCCACCACACCGGCACUUUCUUUAUGAAAUCUUCGUGCUUCAGCCACGCUUCCUCGAACCGAAAAAUCUUGUUCCUCCCCCUGGCACCUACCCCAGUCGUUAAUACGAUAGGACAAUGGUCCGAUGUAAUUCUGGGUAGCGCUUCAACCUUCGAAAGGGGAAAUUCCCUGUCCCAAUCGGUUGACAGUAGGAACCGAUCAAGUCUCGCUAAAGUUGGGGUGUCUUGCAUAUUUGACCAAGUGAAGGCUUGAUUAGUCAUCGGUGGGUCGAUCAUAGCAAGAUCGUUGAUCAGCCCGUUGAAUAAGUUCGUGGCUUUUCUACUCCAUCGUUUACCCCUUCGUUCCUCUUGACUUCUUGUACAAUUGAAGUCACCGCAGAUAAUCCAUUUGCCCACACAAAGCUCCUUUAGAUGGGAUAAUUCAGCAAUAAACUCUUCCUUGCCGUUCCACGAGGCGGGUCCAUAGACGUUAGUCAGAUAGAAUUUAGCCCCACACGAGUUGGAAUGCAGGAGGGUAGUAAUGGAGUAGGUCCUCACGAUGACUUCAAGGCAGGAGAAGAAACGGGAGCUCCAAUCUGUGAUAAUACCUCCAGAAGAAAUUUAUGUUACUUACAAAAAAUACAUGGGAAGUUGUCGAGUUGUAACAAAACUAAGAUGUCUUUUUGGAAUCAAAACGUAAAAGGAUGGAGUAUUUGUCUUUGGUUGGUAUUGUUGCCCUUGAAUUUCUAUAUUACAAAUAAAAUUUGAUACGCCUUUAAGAAGAACUUAGGCCUCAUUUGCCAUUGUUGUCUUUCUUUUCUUUUUCUUUUUUUUGUAACAUGGGUUUUAUAUAAUUUGAAGCAUUAGAGAAAUUUUUUUUACUAUUAUUAUAUGUGCUUAGCUUAUAAUGUAUCCUACUAAAUAAUAAAUGAUAAUUUAUCUUAAAAAUUAAGAAAAAAAUAUCUUUUUUUUUUUCUCGAGCAGGUAUUUUGAAUGAAAGGAUUGUAGAUUUUUUUUUUUUGAAAGUAGCAUGCUACCGUCUCAUUCAAUAAGAAUAUGAACUGAGCCACAAACUAAGACAAUUGGGCCUCCAAGAAUGAACGAAAAAAACAUGCUACCACUUCUAUCUCACAUACAUCAACGAAAAAAAACAUGCUACCACUUCUAUCCGCACUCCAACCCCUUUUUCAAAGGUUCUCCACUGUGAGCACCUCUCUUUGUAGUACUAGCCAUAUAAAAAUCUUGACUUUUAAUGAGGCUUUUGUCUUCCAAAGUUGAAUAAAAUUUUAAUUGUGAACCCCACCAUCUUGCAGAAAUUUAUAGCGUGAUUUGACCGUGAACUUUUCGGACCGAGUCCAUCUCUAUCUAAUCUCAUCUGAUCUAUUAGAAGGCCACAUCUUCGAAAUCGUCUCUUUAAACUUCAUGAUCAAGUAAAGGUCAACCUGGGAAGUAGGAAUGAAACCUGCCAGGAUCUUAGGCCAUCUCUAUCCGGUCCCUCCCCAGCACUCCUUCACAAGAUAUUUCUUGUGUACAAUUGUAUCGUAAAUAAGGGAGAAGAGAGUACAGGAUUGUAAUUAUUUUACAAUGCACUCCGACCCAUUUGAGUCGUGUGGCCACAUCUCCCCGUUAGAGAGUUUGCACUGAGAAAAGGGGAAAGAAAAUGGGCCUAUUGAAUAUAUGACCAGUGUCCUGGGAUUCAAGUGGGCUCCAAGAGGUCUACUUAAUCUUAAAAAACAAAUUACCAUUCACUGUGUAAGCCGUAAAAAAGCCAUGACUCCUGGGAGGAGGCUAUAUGUACAUCCGUCUAAAACCUCACUUCUACUCUUCUCACUGUUCUAAGUACUCCUGUAUACACAAAAACACAUUCACUCACACUUCUUCUGUGGACUCUUUAAUUUAAGUGUUGUUGCUAUUUUUAGUGUUAUAAUUCAUGGACAAAAGGCUUGCGUAGAGGAUCUCGUUCCACAUGUCCGGCACGCCGGGAAGGCACCAGUGGCUGCAAUCCUCCGCCGCGUGCGGCGGCGUGCCGGGCUCGCGGUGGCUCGACGGGUGCCCGUCCUUCCUCAGCUCGGUUGGAUGCGUGAUGUCCAGAUACCGCGCAUUCCUGCCGCCUCUCUUCAUCUCCUCCACCGCACGGACGGUGAUCGCGUUGCUCCACGGCUCGGGCUCGAACCUGAACCUGAACCCACUGGUGCUGAUCCAUGGCUCCGUUUCCCGUCUGCAUGUGCCGUUCGUGUCCCACGUCCCAUUCCUGCAGUCGAGAGCCAUGUUAAAUUUAACAAAAUUUUUAGCAUAAUCAACUAAAAUUACUCAUGAUGAUAAGAGUUAAAAUUCGACUCACGUGUAAUGAGAAGGGGAGAAGCUUCGGAAGAAGAUGUGCGCCUUCGAAAGUUGUGGAUUGCUUGUGGCCCAAUUUGUCACCGUCUCCAGACUUAGUUGAAAAGCUUCUUUGAUAUCCAUCGUCAUGUUUAUUGUUUUGCCCACUUGAAUAUAGUUUCCCCUGAAGAAAUUUGUGCGCAUGCAAUUACAGUGCAAUAGUAAUCUAGUAUACAGCAAAGAUAAAUUGAUGUCAUAUAUGCAUUAUCGGGCCCAAAACUUCUCGGCUAACCAAUUAUGAACACGACGAGGCCCAACCCAGCCCAUGUAAUUUUUUUAAAAAAAAACUAAAAGAAAAACAAUCCAAAUAUAUAUAUAUAAUAUGGUAGGAAUAUUAAAUGGUUACAUUUUUGUGAUCUUGUCCUCGCUCCACCAGUGGCCAGUAUUGAAAACGAGCACGUCGGCCCCGGCCCACCGGCCAGCCAGGUGUGGCAACAUGUCGACACGCACCGCACCCUUUAUUGGCCCCCCGGAUGACACGUUCGGAGGGAGGCGGUCGACGGUGACGAGCAUCGGUGCGCGGUAAUACUCGACAGUGAGGUUGUAAUCCUGGAACACCAGGGAGAGGAAUCCCCUGUGCUUGGUUAUCGGGUUUCCGAACUGCUCGUAGAUUCGCGACCCGUUACCGACGCCUUUCGCAAGCAUGCACACCAAUGACUCCCACUGGUUCCUCCCGAUCGAGUCUCCCGCAAAUACAAUCCUCCCGUUUCUGCUCCUCUCCAGCAUAUCACUCGCAUUGAACCUGAUUUUAGUUUGGUGCGUAGUGAACAAUUUGAUUAGUUGUGAAUAACCCAAUUAAGAUUAAUUCCUAUAGCACUCUUAGGCCUAGUUUCUGGAAUGAGUCGGUUAAACACGCACGCCUGUUUUGAACAAUGCGAGAUUAUAUUAAAGUUCUCCCUAUAAGAUGAUAUACAAUAAUUGUAGGAAUUCCACUGUAUGCGUUUGGACAAUACAUAACACAAUGAGAAUUCCAAAGUAAUAUUACUUCCAUAACACAAUUAGAUUAAUAACUUUUAUCCUAAUUCAUGAAAAGAAAAAAUAUAACAAAAAAAAAGAUAAGAUUACAACAAAUAAACCUAAUUGAAAACAAUGAUUUGACAAAAGAAUGGUGCAAGUAGAGAUAUUAAAAGAAAAGGAAUAAUAUUGUACGUACAUGGGGAGAUCACAACCAUGAGGUUGCCACCGCCAAUACAUGUAGCCGGUAUCGUUGCGGCCAUUGUGCACGCAUUGAAACCCCGGGUCAAGAAACGGACACUCCUCCGUAUAAUACGAUACGCGCUCGUUCCGCACCCAUUUCCCUUUGGUGUAAUCACAACGAGUACCAUUCUCAUUCUCGCUCUCGUUCUCAUUCGUAGAAAAAGUGAGGAGAAAAAACGACAAUGGUUGUAACGGGGUGAGUUGUUGGAGGAGCACGAACGAGAGGGGUAGGAUUAAGAGGAAAGAGAUAAUGGGUCGCUUUGUUUCUUUGUUGAAGAUAAUGGAGAGGAGAGUUGUUUUAUGCGUGGGAGAUGAACUGGAAUCGGAACCGGAAUUGAAAUUUGUGAGCUCCAUUAAUGGAGGAGAAGGAAGCAGAGGAAUGGUGAGGAGGAGAUGAAGGGUUUGGACCCGCUUUAACGUCCAAUUCUUUCAUGAUAUGAUAUGGUUUGAGGUAUUUGUUACGAAACGGUUACGUUAGUUUGAGUGGUUGACCACCAGGUCAAACAACAAGGAGAGGGAGUUAAAAUUUUUUUAAAAAAAGGAUGGUAACCAAUAGGGUUUAUUUGUUUCACCGGUAAAAUUUAAAUUGAUAUACACUUGUAGGUACAUUAAAAUUCAGAUGGAAUUAUUUUUUUUUCAUUGUUUGCUUUCAUAUAUGUAGGACUGAAGUUUUUAAUUUGACUAUUUGUUUGAUAAAUAGUAAAUUACGUACAAAUUAAAGUUUUCUAUUGUUAAUGUUUAAUUUUUUUUCUCUUUUUUUUAUAAGUACUAACGAAUGAAAAUCAAUCAACCUCUAUUCAUUUUUGGUGAAAUAAACACAUCCUACACAACCACCCAUCUGCAAUUCACACGACUUUGAAAUUCAACAUAUUUAUGUAAUGGACACCAGAUGGAGUAGUCUCGCGUUAAGGAACAAGCGACAAUCGAACAAGCGACAAUCGCACCAAACGAUUUGAAUCAGUUAACGAAUGCAUUAACGAGUUGAGGUGACGUCAAAGCCCAAGGUCCAUAACUUUGGCAUCAUAAUGUUCACUGGAUCAAGACACAAUGUGGCUGUUACACACGCAAUGAGUCACAUAGGCCAAUUAGCCCAUCUACCACCUGAUUAUGAUAUUACUGCUACCCCUAGAUUUUCUUUUGUUAUUUUUUGAGAGAUAGAUAGCACGCUAUAUGUUUCGUUUAUUUCAUUUAAAAAUAAACUUAGCUAGAAAUGUGAAUCAAUUAGGAUUCGAACUUGAAUCUUAGUUAUCAACCACCAAGUCCUUUGCUACUUGCUCUAGGGACGGUCAGUACUAUGCCUAAAUAUUCAAAUCAUACAUAAGCCCAUUAGCCACAAAGCUCGAUCCAAAGUUCCAAACAGAUUCAGAUUUGUACCUUACACUUGAAACCACUCGUUUUUUUAUUAUUAGAAUUUAGAACCAUUACUUCUUACAAAAUACUGAUAGCACCUAGCAUAGCAUAGUAGUAAACGACUUAAUAAUUGAUACCCAAUACUGCAAGUUUAAAAUCUAAUUAUUUCAUAUUUACAGCUAAGUGGAUAGCAAACUAUUAUCCUCUCUCUCAGAAUUUUUUUUUUUAAUACUUGUUAUUCAGAAUUCACAUAGAAAUUGGUAGUAAAAAUAUUUUCUAUAAUUUAGAAAGAUGGAAUGUUUAGUUUAAUAAAAUUUGUCUUGAAUCACAAAAUUUUGCAUCUGGAAUCCUUUUUAAAAAAAUAUAGCAUACUGUCCAUCUUAUUUAUCAAGUAAAGUGAACUUAGCUAUAAUUGUGUGACAUCUGGGCCUCAAUCAAAAAAAGUAAGCAGAAAAAAAAAGAAAAGAAAAGAAAAGAGAGAAGAAUAUACAAUAGUAGUUUUGAUGAUUAAAAAUAUAGAGAGACGAACAAAUACUGUUAAUUUUUGCUAUUUUGUAUGGUGCAAGUUAUCGUGUAUAACUAUUUAAAUGUCCCGGUCCCUCCCUCUUUGUAAGUAAAUGUGUUUGCUGAGACUGAAAAAAUAAAUGAAAUAAAAUAAAAUAAAAUAAAAUGAAAACAAGGACCACAGGGGGGACCACCUGUAGCUGUAGAAUAGGAAGGGCAUGUAGGGAAAAGGGCAGUGGGGGACCACCACUCGGCCACCUUCAGACGCGGGGUGGACCAACCAAAUCACAUAGCUUUGCCCACACUUUUGACCCAUAACGCUUCCCCAUCCCCUCCAUUUGCCCCUGCUUUUUGCGGAAAUUUACAGCUGAGCCACCGUCGCUACCUUAGUGUUGAAAUAAAAUUGGAUAGGAAGUUUUUCUUGAAUAGCAAUUUUUUUUUUUAGUUGCAGAAACAUUUUUAGUUAGAUACUUUGAUUGGUCAAUUGGCAUAUAUUGCGCUAGAAAAAGUUAGUAAUUAUAUAUUCCAACCUUGUUAAAAAUGUUUUUCUUAACAAAAAUUUAAUCUGUACUAUAUCUGCCGAAUGGGAAUUCAGUGAAAUCUUUCUAUUUCUUUUUUUCUUUUUCUUUUGACUACAAAAUGGUCGUUUUGCGUUUUAAUAACGUAUAGUUGUUUAUAGACGCAAUUAUAAGAGUAAUCUUAGCUACUUCAUUGAUGUAUUUAAUCAUCAGAAAAUUAUACUAGCUUUGCUUUUCAUUACCUAGAUGUGGUGUUAGGCCCAAUUGCGUUACAAAAGAUAUAUACUACCUUUUAUUAAAAAAAAUAUAUUUUCAGAAAAUAAGUAGCCAGUUAUCUAUUUCGUUUAAUACUUUUAAAAAUAAAUUAUGAUAGAAAUAUAAAAUAAUUAGGCUUUGAAUUUUUUAGAUAUCAAUUAUUAAAUUCUUAUCCAAUUGCGCUUAGCAUCAUCGGUGACCCAGAUACAACUAUUAUGGCGAAUAAAUGGAUGAUCAAAUCAACACUUUGUUGAGUGUGAUUUAUGUAACACUAUCGAAUAUUCAGAAUCGAUAUCUAACUUGCUAUAUGCUUAGCACCUAGUUUUGGGAUCCAAUUUGAGCUUAUGGUUAUCGUUGCAACAGCUGUUCCCACCUCUUUACCUCCGAUUGACAAUCCAACUGUUAUCAUGAUGAAGGCAAAUAGCUACCUAGCUAAGGGGACCAUAUAUGUAAUAUACAGCAUCAAAAUCUAUCUACUUUUGGAAAGUGGACUUCAUAUAUAAUCUAUCAAAGAAACUCUCAGAAUCACAGUAUAUCCACUUAAUUAGGAAAGAAAAAAGAAAAAGAGGCAAUAGAAUGUCAACUUUUUCGCCCAAAUCGAAAAGUGGCUAAGAUUUGAUGUGGAAUUUAGAAUCAGUAAAGUAAUUUUUACAUCUUCAAUUGACUGACAAUUAUUGGUGAUCGUUUUGAGUAGUUAAUUAGCUAAUUAGGUAAUUAAGCAAGAGUCAAGUACUAUUAUUAUAUCACAUAUAUUAAUCGCACAUUGCGGAGCAAAUUUGAUACGUGUCAAUGUGUCAUGUCAAGUUCUUGAUCUCUAAUGCUCGGCAUCUGUUCUAGUCCUUACAUGGGUUAUGAGAGUCAUUAUUUUGAACAGAAUAAGGCAUUUAGGUACGAAGUGAGGUGUAAAUUGCCCUCAGACUGUUUUAGGGGAAUAGCAUGUGCUUAUGUAGCUAUACUUGUGUGCUGAUCUAGCAUAUGCUGAUCUAACUGCACCUAAAGGGUGGCAGAAAAGGACCUGAUUAGUGUGGCGACUUGUUAGUGGAUAAUUUGUCGAGAAAGAAAUAAUAUGAUUUUUUAAAUCAAUUUUUAGACGUCUUAGUGAUUAUUAGACAAAUUCAUGACAUGAAAAAAGAAAAAAAAGGCUGAAUUUUACAGCACUAUGUGACUUAUUUUUUAGUGAGGAUUGUAAAACUCUCAGUUUUUUCUUUACUUAUGUAACUUUUUAACUCACCCGAAGUCUCGUUGCCUCAAUUUUCUGUAACUGAAUUUUUUUAUGGAAUGAAUGAAAUGGCCAGCGAGCUAUCUUUACCUCAAGAAGAAAAAAAACUUUCCGUUGUCACUCUUACUAACUCUUAUAUCUAAUAUUAUUGAAGAAAUUUAGGUAUAAUUCUACUCCUAUAGCAGAAUUUUGUGGCUUACUAAGGAGGAUAUGCUAAUUUUUCUUUAGGGCUACCAAAUUUCCUCUUAACAUUUUGCGAUUCACAUCACAUUAUUAUCAAAUUUAUUUUGCUUCUAUUGACAAACCUAAUUUUUCCAAUCUAUAGGAUGCAUAUUGCAAAUAAAACUUUGUUUUUUGAACGUCGCAAGGACAAUACAUUUUAAUAAUUACGCUCAAGUACAACCAUCCCACUAGAAUAUUCAUGGAAUUAAAAGAAGGAUUCUGCAAAGUGCAUUAACAAUCUCAAAGAAAUAGCUGCGCUCACUUUAGUUAUUGGUAUUCUUUUGCACUAUAAUAAUGUAAAAUUAUUUGAUUAUGUAAUUAGGUACAUUAAUUGUCAUAAUUAAAAUGUGAUUAAGUGUGCAGUUGAGCUUAAUGUGGUCCAUGAGAAUGCGUCCCUUUCUCUUUUUGACUAGUUGAAAAGAAGCUAUAAACAAACUACUUUUAGCAUAACAAGGAUGGGCACGCCAUAUACGGACCUUAACUACUAUUGUAGUAAAGGCCAAAGGUUACGAGCUUUCUAAGAAAGCAACCCUAAAGCAUUGAUUAUUGCUCGGUUAAUAAAACCAAACACAAAAAGCAACCAUGUGGUGAGCACCUAAUACACAAAAGUAUUUGUAAAGUAUUGGUCAAGCAUCGCUACUUUGUCGGGUGUUUGAACUUGAAAGACCAUAGACUUAGACUCGCCGCGUUUGGUAUUGGCCGUAUGCGAACCGCUUGUGCGCAAAUCAACAACUAUACUACAAUUUAUAUGUGAAUUUGUAUAGGUUCUUUACCCACCUCUACGAAAAUAUUUGUACUUGAGUAGACGCGAAGAGAAUAUAACGAAGCAAUCUUUAAAAGCUACUUUUUUUUUUUUCAAUUCAAUUCAUUCAGGGUCAGUUUGCAAAUAUAUAUAUAUAUAUAUAUAUAGAGAGAGAGAGAGAGAGAGAGAGAGAGAGAGAGAGAGAGAGAGAGAGCAUGAAUUAAAUUACUACGCAUAGAAAGAAAGAGUGAAAAUAUAGAUGGUUUAGAUUUGAAAAUUCUCAAAAGGAAAUUCAGCAAGUGUGAAAGAGGACAUAGUGAUCUCCAGCAGAUAGGGAGUCAUAAAUAACAGUAGCUGUGGGCCCCCACAUAUCCUAUUCAUGUUUAUUGGACAAAAAUGGAAUUAAAAAAAUGGAAUAAUUCCACUGGGCGGGAGUGGAUAAGAUGUGGGCUGAAUCUCUGGUCCAUAUCCAGUUUAUCUGUUAAUCGGCAGUAGCCACUGGGGCUCCCUAUUUUACACAACUACCCUCCCCAAAUUCCCGAAAUUACCUUUUGCCGCAGUUUAAGUUCCGUCAUCGGGAAACGCAUCCGUACUCAGAUCCGCGCGCGGGAGAAACAGAUACGGUCCGUAUUGUAUCAGAGGGCAUAAACCGUAAUUUCAGAACAGCGGAAGGGUAUUUUUGGGAUUUCAGAUGAAGUAAUAAUCGGAGCCGGAGCCACAGCGCCCAAUGCGGCCCGUGACGGGGGAAGCGAGCGCCGUUACCGUUACGGCUAUCGGAUAGACCAGACCAGCGGUGGGGCCCACGGCGGGUCCGAACGCCGUUUGAGCCAACGCGCUUCCCGGGGCGCUGCUGCGCUCAUCUGCUGCUCCGAGCUCUCCGUGCUUAUCCACAGCUCCUCCACACAAUUCCUGCCACGUGUAGUGUCGUGUCUACGUGUUCUCACAGGCGCCUCGUGUGCGGUGGCGCCGCGGGGUGAAACGUAACGGAUGGAGGGUGCCUCGCACGUGACUCGCCCGUUACCGAAAUAUAUUACAUGAGGUGAUUAUUUUUUUUAUUAUAAUUUUAUCUUGUUAACUACCUUCUAAUUUCCUCUUAUCCUAAGGGGAAAAAAAAACACUUUCUAUUUUCCACCGAGCAUUUCUCUCCAAUAGAACAUAAAAUUAAAAAUAACUUUUUUUUAAAGAUAAAUGUUUAAGGAUUGAUUAGCAGUAUUAUAUAUACCUAAACAUCUUUUUCAUUGAAUUUUAUUAAUAGGAAUCAUCUAAGAAGGUAGAUUUUAUGAGUAAAAAAUGAACCAUAGCAUAAAAUAUAAUUAGACUCCUAACAGAAUACGUGAUCGUUGUAUCUAAUUAUAGAAGUUGUAGUUAAAAUAAUUUAAAUUAAUACUAGUUUAAAAAAAGUUCAUUUAGACAAAAAGAGAUGUAAAAGGAUUGAGAAGCAAUUAAUAGACCAUUACCGAUAAUCUUGGCUAUAUGUUAAAAGUACACUUUGUGAAAGCCAAUUGCAUCCUUAUAUACUCAAUUAAUUUUGUUGUUUACUUACACAAUAUUAUAGUGCUCAACUAAAUUAAAAAAGAUGGUAGUUACCUAUAUGGCACCUCCUCUUUGCUAUGUAGCUCACGUGUCUAGCACUUUGUAUCUUAGCACAAAAAGACACGAAAAGGGCACAAGAUAAAGAGGGAAAAAAGAAAAGAAAAAAAAGAAGAAGAAAAGAAAAAUUAAGGAUCGAGCAGUUAUGUCAGUGACCGAGACGCCACCCCCUCCCUCUUGGCUUCUCACACAAGCCGACACCUGCGCUUCCAAAGCUUCCCGUUUCCAUCUGUGCAUGCAGGUAACAUCUUAAUCUUCUUGAUAAUAAUAAUAUUUUCAAUCUUUUAAAUUAUCAUACUCCGGUGUAUAAAUAGUUUAUUUAAUAUAUUUAUUAAUUUAUUUUAAAAAAUUUAUUGAUAGAUAAAAAAAAUGUAAUCAAAUAUUUAUAAUUAUAUACUGGUAUAUUUGGUCUUCACGUUAUUUUUUGAAAUAAGAUAAAUUAUCUCUUACAGAGAAAUAUUUUAUCAUAUCAAAUUAAAUAUAAAUAUCAAGACCUAUCAAAAAGUAAAAGAUCAAGCUUUUUUCAUAUAAUCAUGCUAGAAAAUUCAUAUAUCGAAUACGUUAUCAUUUCGUUUUUAAAGCGGAUGUCUCUUUUAACUCUUGAAAACUCUUUCGAUCAGAAGUGCCAAUUUAUCAAUAAUACGUAAUAAAGUAUUCUAAAAAAGCUAUAGCAAUACUUAAACCUUAUCUUAAUUAAAAAUACUUUAGAUCAUUCACAAUUUUUGUAUUUUCUACAAAUUUAUAUAGCACUUUUGAAGUAAAUGAACAUUAUAUAUAUAAAAGCUAAUACAAAUAUUAAUCAUUUAUUAUAAUAGAAGUAUUUUAAAAAUAAUAUAGUAUUAUUACACGGAGCACAUCCAAAAUCCACGACGCACCAUUAAGCAGCAGGGCCCACCACAUAUACUGCAAAUGCCACUCGCAACCGAAAUUGUGUCCACAUUUGGCAGUUACUUUCGCUGUGCUCAAACAUUAGUUUGAUGACCGCAUUUUUUUUUUUUUUUUUUAACUAGUUUGAUAGUAACAUCUUUCUUUAAUAUUAGUUUGAUACUGACUUGUUUGGCCAUUGUUAGAGAACUUAGACGUGCUAUGCUCAUCAAACACUAAAAAUCGUACCUUUUUAUUAGAAAAACGUAAGCCGCACUGUAUUUGAAAAUAGACAAAUUAAUAUGGAGGUAGGCCUUGACAUGCAAUAUAUAGAUUGUAAGCAAUAGUAUUGAUGAAAAAGAAAUACUAUUUUAGUAUUAAUAAAAUAAAUUACUAAAAUUAGCUAUUGUAUGUUGACUAAGUUCAAUUAAAUUUUAAGAAUUUUGAACUAUGUGGCUCUACUGCUAUCAUAUAUUUCUCCAAUGUAAUAGUCAAUUAUAUUUGUGUCCUGCUAUUAAAAUGUAAUGGUAAAAUUAAUUAUCCACCGAUUCUUCACAAAAAUUAGCUCAUCUUAUGAUCAAGGAGUUCGAGCCCUAAAACCUGUUUAUUUUGCAGAGGGUGAAAUUCAAAUUGAAGUACAUAUUUACGAUAUUUUAGAGUUGAACUAAAAGUUGCUUUUCUUAAACUAUCUGUUGGUACAAUUGUAAAAUUUAUUUUUUUUCAAUUUUACUAUUUAUUUGACUCUGAAUAAAUAAUUUUAAAACGGGGGUAUUAGAAAUGUGUUAAUAUUUUAUUGUUUUCUCAUUCUUUUUAGUAAUUGACUUUUCUUUAUUAUUAUGGUGGUUGAAAUUAAUUACCAUAUUUAUGAAAUUGUAAAUUAAUUUAGAUCGAAAAUAAAAUUACAGUAAAAUAAAUAAUAAAAACAAAUACUUACAAUAAGAUAAUAUUUAUUUAUUUAUUUUUGAUGAAACAAAUAUAGCAAGGUUUGCAUUUCUGGCAAAGUAUAAAUAAAUUUUUAAGAGCACACUUAUGGGUUACAAAGUGUACGGCCAUUAGUAUAAAAACAAAAAUUUAAAAAAUAAGUAUUUGUAAUUAGUUGAUUUACAAAGUUACCCUGGAAGGCAUGAAUGGACAGGUGAACGAGCAGAUGAGAAUGAGAUAGGGUGGAAAGAUUUUAGAAUGUAUUGAUUAUAUUAAUGAGGUGAUAUUUCUAAAUUAAUUAUAUUAUAAAAAAUAAUUUUACUGUAUUAGGGAAAAAAAAAAAAGAGAAAAUGUUAUACCGUAAACUUUAUUUUCUUGGUAGAGUGGCGUCGGUAGUGUUGUAUAUCACGCAAUUUCCGUUGUUACGAGUUGCAACCCGCCCCUUCCAUUAUUAUAAGAUGAAUCAAAUCAAAUCCCGCAUUAAUUCCUCGAUAUUAAAUUCCUCCUCAAAUACGCCAAAAAUAAUCCGUGCCAGCUUUAGAGCGCGCCGUUUCACUUCCCCACUUCGGUUUGGGCCCCACAGUUUCCUUCUCCGUCUCCUCCAUCCAUCCAUCCCCAACCCUCCUCCGUUAUCUCCUCUUGUUAUCUCCUCUUUAUAUCUCCCCCUCUUCUCUCCCUCUCUCUCCCGUUCUCACUCCCCUCUCCCCACCCACACCCCAGAGAGAGAGAGAGAGAGAGAGAUGGCGAAGAGAGAGAGAGAGAUCAGCUCGUCGUCGUCGUCGUCGUUCGCGAGCUUGAGGGAGUAUGGGCGGGCGCUGGGGGAGACGCACAGGAGGAUUGUGCGGAGGGCGGGGUCGGUGACGACGACGUACGAGGAGAUGAGCAGGGUAAGGGCGCGGUCGGGGCCGGACAUGGCGCGGACGCUGCGGUGGCCGGACCUGGUGGGGUUCGGCCUCGGCGGGAUGGUCGGCGCCGGCGUAUUCGUCGCCACCGGCCGCGCCGCCCGCCUCUACGCCGGCCCCGCCGUCGUCGUCUCCUACGCCAUUGCCGGCCUCUGCGCCCUCCUCUCCGCCUUCUGCUAUACCGAGUUCGCCGUCGACAUGCCCGUCGCCGGGGGCGCCUUCAGCUACCUCAGGGUGACCUUCGGUGCGCACCAUAACUCCGCCCCGAACACUCUGUUUAAUGCUUAAAUAAAAAAUAAAAAUCCCUCUUUUAUUUAUUUUUUUAUUUACUUUUAAAAACUUUUUUGCGAGUUGGGUUUUGGUUUCUGUACUUUUCCAAAAAAAAAAAAAAAAACUCACUUUUUUGAUGUAAAUCUCCAGCUAAAAACUCUUCUUGUCGUGAUUUCAUGCGCUUUUUGCUUCAAAAAUUUCCUUUCUUUCUGUGUAGUUUUAGAGUUAUGGGGCCCAUUUCGUUCCUUUAGCCGCUAAGAAGAUCUCGCCGUUGAUUAAAUAAUUCGUAAUCGAAUAGUGGCUGGGCCAUGUCGGAGCGGAUUGGGCCUCAUCUUCGACAUGUAUUGCGUCUUUUCGCAGGGGAGUUUGCGGCGUUUCUGACGGGGGCGAAUCUGAUAAUGGAGUACGUGUUCUCAAACGCCGCGGUGGCGCGAAGCUUCACCGCGUAUCUCGGCACGGCGAUCGGCGUCGACACGCCGGAGAAAUGGAGGGUGACCGUCUCCUUCCUCCCGAAGGGCUUCAACCAGAUCGACCUCCUCGCCGUCGGCGUCAUCCUCCUCAUCACCAUCUGCAUUUGUUACAGGUAAUUAAUAAUUAGCAUUACUUUUAUUAUUAUAAAUCACACGACAUUAACAGAACGAAAGUGAAGGGAAAUUAACGUCGCGUACACAGGUGUUGCUAUAAUGCUUGCGUCACUUGUCACUUCAAACAGAUUGCUUUGUUUCGCAUUUGUCUCUUCUAGGACAAGAACCGUCACCUCUCUUGUGCAUUGUCGCUAAGCCAAGUUCAAACACCAUAGUAGUUUUAAUUAAUUAAUUUCUUUCACUGUCGUAUAUACCCGUGCGAAUUCGCCCGGGUCAAUAAUAAUUAUUUUAAUUUUCCUCACUAUGCUCCUAUGUUGGUGACGGGUCACCACAAGUGUAAUACAGAGCCCCUGCUCUGUUUCUCUGGUUCAAAGAUGGUUUCUUUUUCUAUGAUCCCAUUAGCUCCCUCCAAUUGUGUAUAUGGGUAGUUUGAAUUUCACAUUAUUUUUCUUUCUUUUUCUGAUGAAUUUUAUUUAAUAAUGAGUUUUUUUUUAUUUUUGUCAAAGAUGGUUCGAACGCGAUUUUUUUUUUUUUCCGAGAGAGAGAGAGAGAAAAGUUGGCCGCUUUUUCCUAUAAACCCAAAGGUUCCGACAAAAUUGGGCGUAGUUCGGAUUCUCGCCGAAAUUGACUGUUUGUAAUCAUUUUUUGGUUGCGCGAGUGGAUCUUGACCAACAGUUGGUGCGUGUUCUUGACUCCUCUGUUUCUGUUAAUAUUGCUGUACAAAUCCAGUACGAAGGAGAGCUCGGUUCUGAACAUGGUGUUGACGACGAUCCACAUCGCGUUCAUCCUAUUCAUAAUCGUGAUGGGCUUCUGGCGCGGGGAGUGGCGCAAUCUGACCCACCCGGCGGACCCGUCGAAGGACGCGGGCGGGUUCAUGCCGUACGGCAUCGGCGGCGUGUUGAACGGGGCGGCCAUGGUGUACGUGAGCUACAUCGGGUACGACGCCGUGUCGACGAUGGCGGAGGAGGUGAGCGAGCCCACCCGCGACAUCCCCGUCGGCGUCUCCGGCUCCGUCGCCCUCGUCACCGUGCUCUACUGCCUCAUGGCCCUCUCCAUGUCCAUGCUCGUCCCCUACGACGCCGUACGCUCAAUUUGUUUCAUAAAUCCUAUAUAUUAACAGCAAAAUCGUGGGAUUUGACGAUCGGGUCCGGUCGGUGGUCCCCACCUGUGAUCGGCUCCCUCCUCCUUAUCCUUCCCCAUUCCAUUUCCCUUAAUUUCCCUUUUGCUGAUAACUACCCAACAGCUAUUCAAGAAGCUACUGCUGAUGCAGAGAGAGAGAGAGAGAGAGACAGAGAGAGAGACAGAGAGAGAGAGAGAUGAGAAAGAAUAAGUUGCUGAGAUCUGUUGCCUCACUCUCACGUAGCUUUUUGGGUAGUUAUUGGUACGUUUUUGCUUUUAGCGACGGUUGUGGUUUAUGGGCUUUUGCGUGUUGCGUGUUGUUGUUGUUGUUGUUGUUGUUGUUGUUGAUUUUUGGGGCUUGGGCUCGGGCACGGGCUCGAUUAAUUUCGCAGAUCGACGUCGAAUCGCCGUUCUCGGGGGCGUUCAAGGGAUCGGACGGCUGGGGAUGGGUGUCGAACGUGAUCGGGGCGGGGGCGAGCUUCGGGAUCCUGACGUCGCUUCUGGUGUCGAUGCUGGGGCAGGCGCGGUACCUGUGCGUGAUCGGACGGUCGAACGUCGUGCCAGCGUGGCUCGCCAAAGUCCACCCCUCCACCGCCACCCCUGUCAACGCCUCCGCCUUCCUCGGUACGCUUGGGCCCACCACCACCCCACCCUUCCCCUCUCUAUUCCCCUCUCCUAACCCUCCAUUAAAACUCUUGUUCCUGUUUCAUUUUCAGAAAAAAAAAAAAACAAAACAAAAGCAGCUGUGGGGUACCCCUACCCCCCAAAAAGACAAUCAAUAAUUUAUAGUGAUCACUGACCGUCCCUGGUCGUAGGUGACAAAAAAUUUAAUUAUUGAUACCCGAAGUCUCAAAUUUGAAUUCUAAUUGAUUCAUAUUUUCAGCUAAGUUUAUUUCUAAAAUAAAAUAAGUGAGACGGCUAGCAAGCUACUUAUCUCUCAAAAAAAUCAUGCGAUGCACCUCAUAUUAAUAAACUAAAUUAAAUUUGAAUUCAAAUUUUAAGCUCAAAUAAAUUGUGAAUGUGGAUUUUGAAUUCAAAUGGUUAUUAGUGGUAGAAUUUAUCUUUUAAUUAAUUUAUUUUUUAAAUACGAUUUGUUUUUGAGUAUAUUUUCAAUAUAAAUACGUCGUAAAUAUUUAUUAUAUCUGUUCCAUAGCAUACAAAUUUUUUCUUUAAUAUGUACUCAAAAUUUAAAAUUUUGAAUCAAUUUUAAAUUUAAAUUAAAAAUUGAAUUUAGAUUUAAAGUUAUGAACCAAACUCAGUAUUUAAAUUUAAUUUUAAAUCUAUUUUUUGAAUUUAAAUAAUUAUUUCUUUGAUAGGCCUAUAGUUAAACUAUUUUAUUUCUCAAAUCUGAAUUAUUUUUAAUUAGUUGUUUAUUUUAUUUUUUAUUAUUAAUUUUUUGGUAAUGCGUGUGAUUCUAUUCAUUUUUAUAUAUAGUAUUAAAUAUAUUGCCAAAUAUAAUAUAUUUAUUAUUUAUUACUGUCCGUAUGAAUCGAUAGAAAGACGUCACCCAUGUAGCAUCACUAUUUUAGGAGAACAUAUUUUGAUUUGUGAUGAAUGCUUUCCAAAACGGAUGAUAUUAAUGCAUCACAUUUUCACCGGGAGAAGUUUGAUUUGUUAAAGCCUGGUCAAAUUUAAUUAUUUACUAAUUAGUAAAUAAUGACUAACACUAUUCUUUUUCACCCUCUAAUUAGGCUUUGCGAGACAGUUUGUUAAAUUGUUAGUUUUGACUAUGAAGUGCAUUUUGACUUCUUUUCGUUGUACGAGUUAGAAAUAUUUCGUGCAAGUUGAUAGUUGACCCUGUAUUGUACACGUGUAGCAUAACGCUAACUCGUGACUUGUGUAAUAGUGAAAUCGACGAGUGUUCAAUGUAUUGAAUUAUAUUAUUUAAGAGUAACUAGUUGAUAACCGAUUUUGAAUUUAAUGUUUUAAGUGGAUCCAUGGAUUGCAGGGUUGUUCACGGCGGCGAUCGCGCUGUUCACGGACCUCGACAUCCUCCUCGACCUCGUCUCCAUCGGCACCCUCUUCGUCUUCUACAUGGUGGCCAACGCCGUCGUCUACCGCCGCUACGUCGCCGCGGGCACCGGCUCCGACGCCAACCGCUCCUGGCCCACCGCCGCCUUCCUCCUCUCGUUCUCCCUCGCCGCCCUGGCCUUCACCCUCCUUUGGCAUUGCACACCCACCGGAAUAGCAAAAGCCGCCCUCCUCGCCGUCUGCGCCGCUGCCGCCCUCUCCCUCCUCACCGCAUUCCGCUUCCUGGUCCCGCAGGCACGGAAGCCGGAGUUCUGGGGCGUCCCCAUGAUGCCGUGGAUACCGGCCGUGUCCAUAUUCCUCAACGUCUUCCUGCUUGGCUCGCUCGACGGUCCGUCGUACGUGCGGUUCGGGUUAUUCUCGGCUGCUGCCGUGCUUGUUUACGUUCUGUACAGCGUGCAUGCGAGCCAUGAUGCGGAGGAGAACGGUGAUCUUCUAAUGAAGGUGGGGGACAGUGAGGCCCGUAUUGUGGCGGGGGCGGGUGAUGGGGCCUCCAAAGUGUAAAUGUAGGUAGUGAAGAACCAAAAAAGAAAAAAAAAAAAAAUUCACCACCUUUUUUUUUCACUUUUUUUUUUUUAAGCCUUUUGUUUUAGCUUGGGGAUGGAGGUGAAAUUUGGAGUUAACAUGGGGGCCUGAAAGAAAUUCUGUCAUGCAAAAAGUUAAUAGAAAAGAAAGAGAAGAUUUAAAGGAAAUUCUUUACACAUGAAGUUGUAGCAUAUUGCUAGCUUUCUGAAUCUACUUAUGCUCUUUAAUUUUCUGGAAGAACCUUUUACUCUGCUGCUGCUCAAAUCUUCUUUCUUGUGAAUCUACUGAUUCAAUGAAACCAUCUCAGAAGAACUGAUGCUUAUAUUGUUAAUAUAUAUGAUAUCUUUUUGAGCCUAUUUUCAACUUUCAUUUCACUCAAGAAAGAAACCAGGAAUUAAGAUUCGGAGAGUUAAUAUGAUAUGUUUCUGGACCGAUUUUCCAACUGGCAUUUCAAUAAGAAACAAAGUUAGGAAUUAAGAUUUGGAGGGGCCACGAUUCAGACUCGAUGGAAAAAAAAAUCGAUCUCAGAUAGCAAGAAAAAAAAUUUAUCAAAUUUACUGGACAUCUAUUGCUAGCGAUAGCAGCGACAAUGUGCUUAAGAAAAAGUAAAAUUAUAAGGGUCGAAAAUAAGGAACCGAGUGAUUCAGAAAAAUAUUGAAACACAAAUUUUAUUAAAAAAAUCAAUUUGGCUCCCCAAAAUUAAAAUUUGAAUAUUUUAAUUUUUACCAUAAAAAACUUAUAUAUAAUUUAUAAUAGUUGAGAGGCAGCCAUAAUCACUGUGAACCUCAUUAUAGCUUCCCUGAUUUCAAUAAUCAAUAUAAAUUAAAUUAUAAUAGUAAAGUGGCUCUAAUAAAACCGUUUUCUUUGGGGCCACUAGGUUCAGGCCCGUUUGGAUACCUCUAAAAACGUAGCAUAGUUAAACUAUGCUGCGCCGGUUGGAAAAUAAUUCUAUGAAGUGUUUAGAAGAAAAAAAAAUAACGUAAUUUUUGGAUUAUAGUUAUACUAUACUCCAAAACAUAGAGUAAACUUACAAUCCACUUUAACCAAAACAAAAAAAUUCCAUCAUUUUGGGCUCCUAAAGAUGUAUGAAUUUCUAAAUUUUAAAUUUCAACAUAAAAUUUUAAAUUUCAAAAAUUAAAAUUUUAAAUUUUAAUUUUAAUUUUGAUUUUAAAUUUUAAUUUUUAAAUUUCAAAUUUCAAAUUUCAAAAAGUUUCAAAUAUCAAAUUUCAAUCAAAUUUCAAAUUUCAGCUUUCAAAUUUCAACUUUCAAAUUUCAAUUUCAAAUUUUAAUAUUUCAAAAAAGUUCAAAUUUAAAAUUUCAAAUUUCAAUUUCAAAUUUCAAAUUUUAAAAGUUCAAAUUUCAAAUUUCAAAUUUAAUUUUAAUUUAAUUUUUAAUUCCAAAAUUUAAAUUUAAACUUAAAUUUUAAAUUUUAAAUUUAUAAAUAUGUAAAUUAUAAAUUAUUAAAUUUAAAAUUUAAUAUUUUAAUUAUAGAUUUUUUAAAUUUUAAAAUUUAAAGUUUAAAUAGUAUACUUUAAUUUAAAAAUUUAAAGUUUCAAAUUUCAAAUUUUAAAUUUCAAAUUCCAAAUUUUAAAUUUCAAAUUUAAAACAUAAAAUCUAAUUUAAUUUUUAAAAUUUAAAUUUUAUAUUUUAAUUUUAUAUUUUGAAUUUUGAAUUUUAAUUUUUAAAAUUUUAUUUUUAAAUUUUGAAUUUUGAAUUUUGAAUUUUGAAUUUUAAAUUUUAAAAUUUUAGAAAUUUAAUUGUUAUAAAUAUAUGGAAUUAUAUGAUCUGUAUCCAAACAGCUUAAAAAUGAAACUAUGAAUUUUUUUUAUAGUUACAAAGUUACAAGAUUCCGUAUUUCAUUUAGACCAAAAUCAUAGAAUAAAAAUUUCAUUGAAUUUUUUAACUAUGAAUCCAAACAGGGCCUCAGUGAAUUUGAUCAAAUCCAAUAAGAAAUUCUUUAAUCUUCUCGAGUAAAUUUACUCAAUUGUGAAUUUACUAUUUCCCUUUCUAAUAAUCGAAAUAUGAAGUUGCCGUCUUUUCACUGUUUGUUAACAGUUCACGGUCGACACACCUUUUCGCCCAUGGAAUCAGUGAAAAGAACCACAUCAUAGUGACAUUUCAUCUGAAAAAGAUGUGAUUCAAUGUACCCAUAUAUACUUCACCAUAUUCUCAUAUAAGGUAGAUCCAAAUGUGAGAUUGCACCAGUAAUCAUGUACUUAAAUUCCCGUACGUGGACUGUAUCUACCUACCACAACUAAUUAGGGACCACGAGAGUAAACCACCCACGUACGCGCCCAUUACUUUAUAAUGGUUUUUAGGUUGUGACGGAUCUGGAUUUGAGUGGGUUGAGAGAGUUAUUGGACCACAAAGCAAAGAGACAAUAUAAGGAUAUCCCACUUAACCCGAAUCCAUGAGCUCUCCUUUCUCUCUUUCUCUCUCUCUCUCUCUCUCUCUCUCUCAUAUGAAGAUGAUGAUGAUAAUAACACGAUAUCUACUAGUCCUUUUUUGUCACUCGUCCUAGGAUCAUGAUAUGUACAUGAUCUUUUUUGGAAAAUCAUGGGGGAAAGGUGUGUGGUUACCCUCCUUUAGCUUUUUACUUUUCUUUGAGGAUAGUGUGUGCCGUAGAAAUUUUACUUGUGGUGCUGAUACAAAGGGCACUUUUCUUAACAACGAGGCGUGCGCAUGUGCUUAUUGUAGGUGGGUCUCUCGUGAUAUAGGGGUGACAACACGGCGGCGCAGAGAUACAGAGCCCAUCACUAUUUUUUGUUUCCGUAAACAUUUGAAGUUAAUUAAUUAAUAUCAAAUUCUCUUUCUUACUUGCCGUGCAUGAUUAAAACAUUUCCAUUUUCGUCUCCGUAUUGUCACGUGAACUCUCCGCGAACAAAUAAAUAUAUAAGCAACAUAAAUUACAUUCCUAUAUAAUACAUGGGUGAAAAUUAUCCCAGAUUAACAAAAAAAAUUUACAUUUCAUUACACAAAAAGAUUGAAAAUAUAUAUUAUGUCGCCCAAAAGAUUAAUCUAGUAAAAAAUUGAUGCAAAAAUAUAUAUUAAUUAAUAGACUGAGUCAUUACGUUUGAAAUUAAUUGAUUGUGACCUAUGUAUAAAUCAACUUGACGGGAAAGCAAUUCAGGCUAAAGAAAAGAAUUGAUUGUGACCUAUGUAUAAAUCGACUAGACGAGAAAGCAAUUUAGACUAAGAAAGCGGUGAAAAGUGACACAAGAAGAUAGGAGCAUACAUACGAGCCACCAAUAUUCUUUAAUUAAAUUGCUCUAAUAAGAUGCCCUUUUUUUUUUCGAAAUAUCUUUUAUCAUUAUCUACUCGUGAAUAUGUUCCUUUCGGGAUAUCAUCUUCACCUCAUUGCCUCCGAAAUCUUCUGAAGUUUUCUCCAGGCAUCAAAUCUAGCACCCAUUAACAAAAGUUGUCAACUCCACCUUUAUUUUUGCACAAACAGAUCCACCUUUCACUAGCUAACAACAAAAAAUUAAAAUAAGCACUAAAAUAAAAAAAAAAAAAGAAAAACCCCGGCAACUAUGUCUCCAUCUCCAUCCAUUGGUGGGGUAAUUAAAAUGGAAUAUAUAUAUAUAUAUAUAUAUAUAUAUAAUUAGGCUGGAAUACUAUUAAUAGCACCGAUUACUUGAUGCUAUUAAGUUUUUUACCCUUGAAUUAAAAAAAGUGCGGUUAAGAUGAUAUGGGCCUCCUAAGGUUGAGUGGGUGGUUGGUUGAAUAGUGUAAUCGAACGGAUGAAAAUGAUAAAAGAGGUAAAUCUAACGGCAGAAAACUUGAUAGCACCAAAUAUUUCGUGCUACCGAUAGUAUCCCAGCCGGACUUUAUAUAUAUAUAUAUAUAUAUAUAUAUAUAUAUAUAUAUAUAUAUAUAUAUAUAUAAUUGAGCUAGAAUACUUUUAGAAGCACCAACCCCUUGAUGCUUCUAAGUUUUUAGCUCUUGAAUCUACUCCUUAAUUACUAAUAAUCUUUGUAUCAAACACUAUUCCAUCUACCACCACCUACUACCACCUAGCACCAUCAUCUCAACCCUACAUCUUUCCAUCCAAUUGUUAAAAACUCAAAAGCACCACACAUUUGAUACUUUUGAGAGUAUUCUAGCUCAAUUAUAUAUAUAUAGAGAGAGUGAGGCUACUUUCUUUCUGAAAGCACGGAGCCUUCCGUGCUUUCAGGUCAUUUUUCAAGUUGCGACUUUCAAAUCGUCGAUCGGCUCCGUUAAACUUGAUCUAGAGUAUUUGAAGUAUCUAGAAAAUAAAUUAUGCUAUUUUUCGAUACUAUUUGCCUAGUGAACGAAGGGGCUCAAAAUCAACAGUUAAAAAUAAAAAUUUUACAAAAUAUGAUAAUAUGACAUUAAAAUUUUAGAUCAAAGAUAUUGAUCUUGUUUUAUAUAAUAUAAAAAAUUUUAUAUCAAAAUUUCACGUGAUUUAGAUAUUUCUACACCGUUAAACUUGCAAACGGCUCACUACGGCCGUUAGAAUUAUUAAUUAUGAGUCAAUCGAUCACUAGGCAAAUGAUAUCGAAAAAUCAUAAAAUUUAUUUUCUAAGUACUUCAAAUACUCUAGAUCAAGUUUAACGAGCCGAUCGACGAUUCGAAAGUCGCAACAUUGAAAACGACUUGGAAGCACGGGAGGCUCUGUGCUUCCAAAAGCAUAGUAGCCUCACACUAUAUAUAUAUAUAUAUAUAUAUAUAUAUAUAUAUAUAUAUAUAUAUAUAUAUAUAUAGAGAGAGAGAGAGCAGAGCUUGCCCGUGCCUUCAGUGGUCGGAAAUAUGGAGGAAAGUGAGAGGACGGAGAUAGAUGUGAGAGAGAGAAUGAGGAUGGCACAUGGGAUUAUGACGGACGUAGAGAGGACCGAUGACGUCUGGGAGAGAUGAGUCGUUUGAAGAUUAGAUUAGAAUACAAUUCGAUAGCAAACGGGCUCUGAUUUGCCACUAUUUGGUUCGGAUGAUUGGUUUGGAAGCCUCCAAAUCGACGAUUAGGACGUUGCCACAAAUAGACUAUACUACUUGAGGUAUUUAGAAUCAAAAUUUCAAUUUUUCGACUACAUAUUGUUUAAUAAUUCAGGUUUUUUCAAAAUUUGUAUAAUUUAAAUGGUCGAUAUGAGGCGUUUGCUCAGGUUUAACAGCAUGUAACAGAUAGCAAACUCAAUUUGAAUUUUUUGUUGAAAAUUUUUUAAACUAUUAAAACAAGUUAUAUACUUUCUGAUUUGAUUACAGACUAUUAUUCAUCAGUUUUUUGAGAAUAUUUAUUUUCAACCGAUUCAUUUUGUGUCACUCGAAUGGAUAAGGAGAACAAAUAUCGAAAAUGUAUGAAAUUUGGCUUUCUCAUCUAAAAUACUUAAAUGGUAAUAGAUCAUGUUUCACGGUACAAUCAUCGAAUUUGGAAAAGCUCCGAUCAUCGAAACAACUGCGGUAGCAAAAGAGCCGAUUUGACUUCGAUAGUCAUUCAGACUUAAUAUAUAUAUUAUAUAUAUAUAUAUAUAUAUUAUUAGUAUAUUAUUUAUAUAUAUAUAGCAGGUGCUAGUCUCUCAUGGAGCCACGUGAUGCUCGUGCUCCUGAGCCGUUUUCGAUGAUGUAGUUUUCGAAUCGACGAUCGGCUUCGUUAGACUUGAUCUAGUACAUUUGAAGUUUGUAGAAAAUAAUUUUUGCGAUUUUUUGAUAUCAUUUAUCUGGUAAUCGAAAGGAUUCAAAAUCCAUAAUUAUUAAUGGUUGAUAUCUGCCGUUUUCAAGUUUAACGGCGUAGAAGUAUUCAAAUCAGAUAAAAUUUUGAUACAAAAUUCUUUAUACUAUCUAUAACAAAAUCAAUAUUUCUGAUCGAAAAUUUUAGUGCUAUAUCACCACUUUUUAUAAAGUGUUUAGAAAAUCAAAUUUUAAAUCUUUUCGACAUCAUUGCUUAACUAUAAAAAAAACGAUCAAGAGGUUUCAAAUUUGUUAAUUUUAAUGGUCGAUAUGAGGCGUUUUCUCAUUUAACAGUGUAAGAUAUCCCAAAUCAAAAUUGAAUUUUUGUUAGAAAAUUUUUAAACUAUUUAAAACAAGAUUUAUACUUUGAUCUGCAUUACAAGACUUUAUCAUCAUUUUUUUGAGAAUAUUUAUUUUCAACGCGUUCAUUUUGUGCUCCACUCGAUGGAUAGAGAGAACAAUAUAUCGAAAAUGUAUGAAAUUUGUUUCUAAAUACUUCAUAAUCGGAUAGAUCAUGUUCAACGGUACCAAUCAUCAAUUUGGAGUUACUCAUCAUCGAAAACACCUGGUAGCAAACAGAGCAGAUUUGCAUAUCGAUAGUAUUCCUAGCUCAACUAUAUAUAAUAUAUAUAUGAUAUAUAUAUAUAUAUAUAUAUAUAUAUAUAUAUAUAAUAUAUAUAUGUAUGCAGCUGCUGGUCUUUAGGAGGCACGGAGGCCUCCGUGCUCCUGAGCCGUUUUCGAUGACUGUAGUUUUCGAAUCGACGAUCGCUUCGUUAGACUUGAUCUAGUACAUUUGAAGUUUGUAAAAAUAAAUUUUGCGAUUUUGAUAUCAUUUAUCUGGUAAUCGAAAGGAUUCAAAAUCCAUAAUUAUUAAUAGUUGAUACAUUGCCGUUUCAAGUUUAACGGCGUAGAAGAUAUCAAAUCAAUUAAAAUUUUGAUACAAAACUUCUUUACUAUAUCUAUAAACAAAUCAAUAUUUUGAUCGAAAAAUUUUAGUGCAUAUUCACACUUUUUAUAGAAUUUAAACUAUUUUCAGCCUGUUAAAAAUUAUUGAUUUGAAACCUUUCGAUUUCAGUAAAUGAUAUCGAAAAAUUGCAAAAAUUAUUUCUAAAACUUCAAAAUGUGUGCUAGAUCAAGUCUGAUACGGAGCCCGAUUGUCGAUUCGAAACUCCAUGCAUCAAAACGUCUCAGGAGACGGAGGCCACGGUGCUUCUGAGAGCACAGAGCCCUGCUAUAUAUAUAUAUAAUAUAUAUAUUAUAUAUAGUAUAUAGUAAGAGAGAGAGAGAGGAGAGAGAGAGAGAGAGAGUGUGUGAGAGUUCGGCCUGCUAUGCUAUUAAUAGCACGAAGCACUUGGUCCUACCAAGUUUUCUCCGUUAGAACCACCAUUUUGAUUAUUUUCACGCCGUUUAGAUCAUGCCAUCAACCACGCCUACUAAACCCUAGGACCUACAUCAUCCUAAUUGCACAUCUCUUAAUCCAAUGACCAACAAACUUGUCAUACAAUGACUUUGGUGCUAUUAAUAGCAUAGUAGCCUAGUUAGAUAUAUAUAUAAUAUUAUAUAAUAUAUAUAUAUCUAUUAUAUAUAUAAUAUAGGGCUACAUACUAGCGUAGCCAGCGGAGCGCUCGUGUUAUCAAAAUUAUUUUCGAUGAUGCGGCCUUCCAAAAUCAACGAUCGUCGUUAGACUUGAUUCUACACUAUGAAAGUAUUUAGAAACUAAAUUUCAAUAAUAUUUUCGAAUAUCAUUUACCUAUCAAACAACAGUAGUUCUAAAAUUGAAGCGGCUGAAAAUAAAAAUCUGCAUAAAAAAUGAAUGAUAUAAAUGAUUUAAUUCAAGAUAGAUAUAUGAUCCUUAUUCUAAAUAAGUGAAAAGAAUUUUCUAUAAAUUUUUAUCGGGCAUUUGGAUCUAUUUUACACCGUUAAACUCACAAAACACACCACUAUCGGCCUUUUAAAAUUGUCAAUUUGAGUCUCGUUUAUCCACUAGUCAAAAUGAUGUCGAAAAAUCUGAAAUAUUAGGUUUUCAAAAUUUUCAAUAGUGUAAUCAAGUUCUAAUGGAGCAUGAUUCAAUUUGAAAGUCGCAAUCAUCGAAAACAACUUGGUAGCACGGAGUCCUCCGUGCCCUACGAUAGCUAGUAGUCGGACUAAUAGUAUAUAUAUAUAUAUAUAUAUAUUAUAUAUAUAUAUCCUAUACAUAUAUAGCAUAUAUAUAUAUAUAUAUAUUUUCUACUACAUCAAAGGUGGGGUUUGGGGGGGCGGACCUUGGGUGACACGUUGUCCCAAACCCCCUUUACUCUCUCUCUCCUCUCUCUUCUCUCUUUCUCACCUCUAUUAUAUAUAUAUGAUAUAUAUAUAUUAUCAUUAUAUAUAUAUUAUCAUAAAUUUAAAAUUUUGAUACUUUCAAAUUUUAAAUUUAAAUUUCAUCUCUAUCUUAAAGGAGGUUUGGGGGGACCAUUAGAGCGGGUGAACACGUGUCCCCCCUCUUCGAUAAAAGGAGUGGUUUGGGGACCUUGGGGUGAGCACGUGUUCCCCCACAAUCCCCUCUUUACUCUCUCUCUCUCUCUCUCUCUAUAAAUAUAAAUAAUAAAUAUAAAUAAAUAUAAAUAAUAAAUAAAUAGAAUAAAUAAAUAUAAAUAUAUAUAUAUUAUAUAUCAAAUUUUAAAAAUUUGAUACUUUCCAAAUUUAAAUUUUAAAUUUCAAAUUAAUUUAUAAUAUUUUAUUUUCAAAUUCAUUGAAAGGAUAAAUUAGGCUACAAUGGUGAGGUACCCAGGGCCUCGAGAAAGGGCGUAACUGAAAAAAAAAAAAAAUCACGCGAUGGUAGGAAAAUCAAUUUGACAUAAUAUAGAAAGUAAUGAAAAUCAAUUUGACGUCUUGGUGCAUUCGAAAGAGUUAGGAGUGGGUGUAUAAAACUCAGGUGAGUGUGGAAUAUACAAUAACUUAUAAAAUAAGUAAUGGCACAUACUGCAUGCAUAAGAGUUUCAAAGCUAAAAUAAGAAAAUAUCUAUUAGAUACAUAAAAUGGAAAAUUUAAAGUACGCUUACUAGAAUUAUGCUCAAAAAGUGAUUCGCUAGCUCGAAGACUACUUGGAAAAGAGAAUUGUAUUAAAUGAGGAGCUACUUGAUUUACAUUUGAAGAUAAUGAAAUUAAUAAUAAAGUUUUACGUUCAUAAAUAGUUUUAUAUGACAAUUAACUCGAGAUAUAACUUAACCGAAUUUACACGCUUAAACUAUAGGUCGAACACAUUUGAGAGGCUACAUUGGAUUUUAAAAUCAUGAGAAUUUAGGUAGAGCAAAAAGCUCCCUAAUAUUCAUUUUACACACUAUUUUUAUAUAGAAAAUCAUGUAAACUUAGUUAUUUACAAUUGUUUACAUAGUUAGACAUUAUACUUAAAAAUACUAAUGCCUGUAAAAAUAUAAUAUUUAUGGAAUUGAUCAAACUCUUUAAAGCAUUGUAGAGCUUAUCCGAAACACGGAAUAGUAAGUAUCAGUUUCGUUUAAUCAGAAACACUAUGAUUACGUUAAAACUUUUCCAAAUUCGUUUCCUUUUGUUCCGAAUAAUGCACGCAUUUGCUUUGACUUAUCCUCACUUAUCCAAUCACGUACAGUGGACGGCGACGAUGAGAGCAUUAAGAUUGGUGUGGACUUGUUUGCUUCGUCUUUUGGUAAUGAUGCUGUUGCUUCUCAUCCAAGGCUAAAAAUGGUUUUUUUUUUUUUUUUUUUUUUUUUUUUUUUUUUUUUGGAGGAAAGGAAGGCUAAAAGUGUUGUUCGUGCAACUUGAUCAUGAGCGGAUCGGGUCAAUAAAAUUUUUUUUUAUUGUGUUUUAUUUAUUUCCUUUAGAUCCUAUCAGGAUGUUGGAGCAAGUUAUCCUUAAAUAACUUAUUUGAUAUGAAUUUUUUUUUGUAUCGUUGUAGGCAAAAUUUUUAGUUUUUGACUUCUUAAAAAGUCAUGCCAUUCAUAAUUUUAUAGGAUAAUAUAUUUACCUAUGAGGUAAUUUAUCUUAUUCCUAAAAAUUAGCUAGAAAUUAGAAUAUGUUAUUUACUUCUAGGUGUUUGAACAUAAUUCUUAUCUACCAAAUAUUACAAAAUUUUGAUUAAAUCAAAACUAUAUUCAAAAUAAGAUAUUCAUACAUCGAAACAUAAACUGAAUUUUAAACAUGCCUACGUGUCUCUAUUUCAAGAAAUCUCUGAACAACAAGUAUAGUCGAACCCUUCGUCUUUGGAAGCACUAUAUGCAGUAUAGUAAUUUUUUUUUUUUUAAGGUUACAAAAAAAAAAAAAAAAAAAAAAAUAAAGAUUAAACNNNNNNNNNNNNNNNNNAAAAAAAAAAAAAAAAAAAAAAGAAGCUAAGAACUAUCCCUAAAAAUUAAAGUGAAUAAUAUUAGUAACUAUUUUAUUUCACCCAAUCAUCCUGGCUGAAUUAUUGGCAACAUGGGGGAGACUAUUAAACAAGACUAAAAAUUAAACCAAGUGAGAUUUCAACUUGCAAUAUAUCUCUCAUUUUAAACCAACGUACGUGAAAGUGAAACAACCAUUUAUUUCUUAAAUUUAAACAGAUAAAAGCAAGCAAUAUUUUUAAUUCUUAUGCACACACAAUCUCGCUCUCCCUCCAGUAUUGAGCAAAUCGCCAUCGGCAAUGAAGUAGUUCCAACCAGCUGUAAAAUGUGCCAAAAACGAUCGACCUGACACUUUCGCGGGGUGCGCACCAAGCUGAGCGGAGAAGAAUAAAAUAAAAAAAAAGGGGAAGAUCGAGUAAAAAGUAAAAAUAAAAGAAAAAGGAUUGAUCAAGAGAUUUGUGUGAAUGGAUAGCGUGUUGAAACGCAAUAAUCAAUCGAAUAUGAUAAUCUCCUUAAUAAUCUAUAUAAUGAUGUGUCAAGUGGUGCAAAAGGCAAGUCUCCUCAUAAUCCCUCUUUGAAGACUCGAAGACUCGAAGUGCAGGGCACCUUUUGGGGUCUUAAUCUUAAAAACGUAUCUCGCAUUAAAAACAUAAUAAUAUAUAAAUAACUAGUGGUGCAUAUAAGAAUUCAGGGUUUUAGUCUGAAUAUAAAGGAUUAGGUUUGGUGUGUUACACAUUAUAAAAGUUGGGCUCAUACCAGAUACCCAAAACAGCUUUUCUGCGCACGAAAAAAUUGGGUUUAAUUAGGCUAAAUAUUUGAGGAUUGCUGGUGUAAAGUUAGAACUCUCAUAUUAAGUGCCUGUUUAUUCCGACUUCUCACAUUAUUAUGCUUAAAUAAUAAAAGUAUUUAAAGUAUUUAGUGGGUACCGAGUAAAUCUUAUAUAUUAUACUAAACAAAAUAAAAGUUUUUUUUUGAAGUAUUUUUAUUUUAUUUGAGAGUAAAAUAUAGUAUGCUACCCUCGUCGUUUAUUUUUUUAUUUAAAAAUAAAUUAGUUAAAAAUAUAAAAUAAUUAAACUUUGAGCUCGAGACAAAGCUUUUACUCAAUAGGGGCAUAAAGUAAACUUAGCAAAUUAAGCGGCUAUUGCAAGGAACGUUGGGUUGCUGGAUUGGGCUGCGGAGUUGGGUUUCCGAUCCAUUUCGAGGCCCAAAUUGUGUGAGUUAUCAUGGGCCUAACUUUAUCUUAUUUUAGAGCCCAAAUCCGAUCCAAGAGUCGACGCUUAUUUGAUGUUCAGAUACUGGGCCUCACAUUAAUGGGUCGAAAAACUCGUAGGCCCACGUAGAAAUUAAACGUUUCUAGGGUUUACAAGUUCGUUCUCUGUUCGCCGGAUCGGGAAGUAAUGCGCUGCUUAUUCCCGUGUUUCUAAUAUAAAAAGUCGUAAAAAAAGGCUUGAAGAUAAAUUAUGUGAUUUAGGUCAUGCAAUAGUUCUGGUGACUCGAUUAAACGGUCACUUGUCUAGUGUAAAUUUUGUACUUAGUUUGGCCCCUCAAUGGAUUAUUAGCAAUUAUUAAUGAUAAUUUUGAGCGCUUGGUACGGGAUUAUUGAUUGUACGCGUUUGGAGAAGUACUUUUCGCUACUAUGAUUUAGAUAUUCUACGCUUUAAUUGGUGAAUGAAAUAGGUAGGAGAUGAUAAAUAUGAGUUCCUGUUCUGCGGUUUCUGCAGUUCGGUAUAUAUAUUUAACACAAUGGAGAAGGAAAAAGUGUUACUUUGGCGGGAAGCUGCAUUCAAAGAUGAAGUCAAAAUUCUUGAGAUAGGAUUUCAAGGGGCGUGGAAGGGAAGAUGCUAAUUCUCAGAGAGGGAACCCAAUUUUUGUGAGUCUUCCUAAUACCCACGAUGUCUAGCUAAAGCUUUUAUUAUCUAUUUUGUCAAAAGUGUCUGUGAGAAGCAAACUUAUAAUCCGUAGGGGUUUCGUUAUCGCAGCUUCUUUUAUACAGAAGAACACGUUGUUUCCGCCGUAAUUUUUGUGGAAUGUAUUGUAGUAUUGGGGUUGGAUCUGAGUGCUCAAACAUAAGAAAGCUUGUCUGGGCUAAUAGGAAUAUUAUUAGUACAUUGGGCUUGCAACAACUCUUGCAAAUAUGUGCAAAAGAGAAGUCACUUAUCUUAGGUAAGAGCUCCCAUGCAUUAGCUAUCCAUGCCGGUUUGCUUACGGAUACUCUUACAUGCAACAUUCUCAUCAACCUGUAUUCAAAAUGUGGUCAAAUCGACCCUGCUCGUCGCGUGUUUGAUAGAAUGCCCGGGAGAAGUAUAGUUUCGUGGAAUACCAUGAUUGGUGGAUAUACCCAAUACGGAAAAGAUAUUGAGGCAUUAAGGCUUUUCCUGAGGAUGCACCAGGAAGGGACUCCGAUGAGUGAAUUCACUCUCUCGAGCAUUUUAUGUGCGUGCGCUGCGAAAUUCGCUAUUACUGAGUGCAAACAGUUGCAUGCUUUGGCUCUUAAAUCUGCGAUGGAUUCCAAUGUAUUUGUUGGAACUGCAAUCCUCGAUGUAUAUGCAAAAUGCAAUAUGAUUAAUCAUGCAUGCCAGAUGUUUGAUGAAAUGCCUGAAAGAUCUUCAGUCACAUGGAGUUCGAUGAUCGCAGGGUACGUGCAAAAUGAUCUUCAUGAAGAGGCAUUGAAAUUAUUCAGAAGAGCUCAGAAGAUGGGGACGGAAUUGACGCAAUUUUCUCUCUCUGCCACUGUUAGUGCUUGCGCGAGUCUGGCGGCGACAAUUGAAGGAACCCAGUUGCAUGCCAUUGUAAUGAAAGCUGGUUUUGAUUCAAAUAUUUUUGUAAUCACAUCACUUCUCGAUGUCUACUCCAGGUGUGGACAGAUAGAAAAAGCUUAUUUAGUAUUUACUGAUAUUAAGGAAAAGAAUGUUGUAUUAUGGAACGCAAUGGUCGCAGGGUUUUCUAGGCAUGCUCACGUAUGGGAAUGUAUGAUUCUUUUUGAGAAAAUGCAGCAAAAUGCUAUGCACCCAAAUGAGGUUACUUACAUCUCUGUGUUAUCUGCAUUCAGCCAUACAGGGUUAGUUGAAAAGGGUCGUCACUAUUUUCGCUUAUUAAUGAAUGAUAAAAAUGUCCAGCCUAAUGUCCUUCACUAUUCUUGCAUCGUCGAUGUUCUGGGCAGGGCUGGGCAUGUUAAUGAGGCUUGGGAAUUAAUGGCAAAAAUGCCAUUUGAGGCAACUGCCUCUAUGUGGGGUUCUCUGCUUGGGUCAUGCAGAAUACAUGGCAAUCCUGAAUUGGCAAAGAUCGCAGCUGGCCAUCUUUUCCAGCUUGAGCCAUAUAAUGCAGCAAACCUUGUUUUGCUCUCAAAUAUAUAUGCUGCGAGUGCAAACUGGGGUGAAGUCAUAAUGGCAAGGAAGAUUUUAAAAGGAAGUGGCGCGAAGAAAGAAACAGGAAAAAGUUGGAUAGAAGUGAAAGGUAAAGUUCACAUUUUUGUUGUUGGAGAGAGAGAGCACUGCAAAAUCAGUGAUAUAUAUGCGAAAAUGGAGGAUCUAAUCAACGAGAUGACAGAGUUGGGUUAUAGAACUGACACUCGGUGUGAUCUGCAUGAUGUGAAGGAGGACGAAAAAGGGGAGCUGUUGAAGCACCAUAGUGAGAAGUUGGCACUUGCUUUUGGUCUGAUGAGCUUGCCUUGUAAGAUACCAAUUAGAAUAAACAAGAACCUUAGAGUGUGUGGGGACUGCCAUUCGUUUAUGAAGUUGGCUUCAAGGAUCACAGGGCGGGAAAUUAUUGUUAGGGAUCUCAAUCGUUUUCACCACUUCAGUGGUGGAUCAUGUUCUUGCAGGGAUUUCUGGUGAUCGUGAAACUUGGAUAGCAAAAACAUUUCACCUUCUCCUAAUGCAAUCAUGUCAUCAAUACUUGCAGAUUAUUGUACCCUUGAAAAUCAUGUGGAAAUGACAAUUCUUCCACCUUCUUUCGGUCAAAUCUUUAUAAUUGACCUAAUCAAUCAUGUGGUGUAGUCUUUUCUUGCUGGCCCCCUAGAUAGUGAGAGACUAUCAGUGGGACCAUAUCAUGGAAAAUGGAAAUGGGGAGGUGGAUCAGAUCCUAAAUUAUCUGAACAGGCUUGAUCCUCCUGAAGACUGGAAAUUUGUAGAACACUUUGCUCGUAUGAUGGUUAUACUUCCAAGUUGGUUUUGCCCCCAAAAUGUUUUGCAUAAACAGGUGGGAAAUUGGCAGUGAUACUGACCGGCUAACAUUUACUAUGGACAGAGCAAUUGCAUUUGAGUGGGUAAGUUUAUUGUAUGACUAGUGACCAGGUUCAAUGAACUGCUCUAUGUUUCAUUAAUAUAUCCUUCAUGAGAAGUGGACUUUAUACUUCCGUAUCUAAGUAGAAUCUGUUCAUUAUUAAAUUUUUUUUAACUCUCUGUCUGAACACUAGACUAGUUAUGGUUCAUAUUAGUAGAAGCCAAUCAAUAGUUAUGCAUUCUUGAAGCACAUGGCAGCUGCUGCUUGCUCACGGUUGGGCUUUUAUUGAUCAACGGCAAAGCUUUUCCUUGUUUUAUUUCUUAAAACACUUGUAUAGUCUCUGAAAUGGCACACUGUUUUUAUCAGUGUGUAGUUUUCCCUAUAUUGUAAUGAUAUCAUGUGUUUUCCUUCCAUGUGCUUUCUAUUUUGUCUCAUCUGUUUGAAUUUCUCCCCUUUUUGUUUGAAAAUAGUAAUGCCAAUUCAUGUGCCAGGCAGCUGAAGACAAUCAGAACCCUGAAAUUCUAUUUUCUAAUUUUUGCCAAUUCCUGAAAUUUUUUGUAUAGAAUUGCUCUGGCAAAGACUUUCAAAGCUCUUAUUUUUUAAAAUUGCUUCUUCUUUCUUUAUUGCACUAUCUCUGAUCAUCAAUACAAUGAAUUGAUACAGUUUUUUGCCUAACACUGAAACAGGUGGUUUCUGGAAGUUUCUACUUUCUGGACAAGAGAAGUGCUUGCAGAACCCAAGUCCAUUACGUGGCUCAUUGGAACAUGAGAACCAUAUAGACCUGUCCAUAUCUGGAGUUAUUGGCACCUUCCCGUUUCAUGCAGGUACUUUCCUUAUUAUAAUGUAACCAACACCAAAUAAGUCAUUUCUAAAAAAAGGGGAAAAAAAAAAUCAUCCUUAGGAAUCAAUAUUUGUUGUUGUAUCAUUUUCAGCUUAAUGUGUUGGCCUGCAUGUUCUGCCAAUAGAUCUGUUUCUCAAAGAAAGGAAGCGCUACAAAUUGGAAAAGCUGUAGGUGAGGGAAUACUUUCUAGAGACUCAGGAAGGUGGGGAAUAAUUCAUUGGAGCUGUUCUCAAAGAAAAAAGAUGACUUUUUAAUCAGUUCAUCCAUUUUGAGUGGACCAUAUCUUGCCGGUAAGUUUGAUGAAUGACUUCUCAUCAGAUAGAAAGUAUUGCUAUAGGUCCCAGUGGAUUCCUUUCAACGGCAAUUGGUCGGUGUAUCAUAUGGUGCACAUCUUUAUCUUUAGUUGCAGCUCUAUCAUUCUACGAUCCCCUUGGAACUGUUUUCUUUACCGAUGAGUCAUUGUCAUAAAUAAGUGCUGGCCCCCUUCACUCCAGGUCUGUCUCUGGAAUUUCUAUAUACUAUGUAUAUUCUGGUUAAUCUUUUUUUUUCUUUUUCUUCACAAAAGUGAGUAAGCGAGCAUCAUAGAAACGUCAGUGUAUCGAUGCAUUGGACAUUAUCCUAAUUGAUCAUGAUUAGCCUUUCUAAGACUUAAGCUUUCAUGCGUCACUCUGUUUAGUUCUAUGCUAAGUUUGAUUAAGCUGUGAAAAGAGCCCUGCACAUGGCGUUUUCGUUUUUAGCAGACAAGCUAUCUUUCUGCCGAUCUGGUCAUUAACCAUCCUGCAAAUUUAAUGAUCUUUCCACUGCUCCCAUAACUCUCAUACAUAUCAACUUCACCUGCAUUCUUUUUCUCUCUCAGCUACUUGUACUUCACCGAAUUAGUGUACAAAGAGCACAGGGGCAAUCCACAAGGUUUAGUGCUUAUAUCUGGGGAUUUGCAACCAAUCACUGUGCUUUAAAUACCAGAUUAGGUGGCCUCAUGUUGUCCUGUGAAGUCCUUACUCAAGCUUCCUCGGUUGUCUCUUCAUUAUGGGGCCUGACAUUGUCCCUAUUAAUUAGUCUCUUUCACUUUACAGCUAUCAGGGUGUGACAAUUAGUUGAUUCUAAGCGACUAACUCAAUUAGCCAUGCUCUUCUCAUGCUUCUGUCACUUCAACACUAAUAAAUUGGUACUAGUCGUAUUCUAAAGUAUUAGCCCCAAGGCUAAUAAACACAAAACAAUGGGAUAAAUGGGAUAUAGCCCGUACAGGGAGACAUCUAAACCUUUAGCUCUAAGCAAAUGGGAAUCUAGCUUAUCAUGCUUAAGCUUGAUCAUUCUUUAUGUCUGAACUUUGUCUCUGAAACCACCGGCCUACUAAGUUUUCUAAUACCCUAUUAGUUUUGAGAACCCACAAACUGAACAAGAUUAUAAAAUUUCUUUUAAAUCUGAGAGGAACAAAUGGGAGGAAAACAACCAUAUAUCUGUAUCCUCGCAAAACACUAAAAAAGUGGUGGUUGUUGUCUGUUUCCCUAUUUUCUUGUUCCUCUUUAUUCUCAUCCUUACAUCUUCUAAACCGAUGAUGAUUUUUAUUCGUGUGUAUAUAUAUAUAUAUAUAUAUAUAUAUAUAUAUAUAUAUAUAGUUGAUGAUUCAGUUGAAUGCGUAUAACAAAAUGAUUUAUUUUUUUGUUUCACAUAAUCCAUAUCAUGUGUCAGAUCCCAACAUUGUAGAGUUCAGUUAAUUAAUAGCUCUUAUGUUUGCUAUAAUUGACUCAUCAACUAUAUCUUAAAUAUAUCUAGCAGUAUCAAAUAAAUCUAUUUACUUUAACACUAAUUUACUUUACAAUCUGACCAUAUACUUAGUGUAGUCGGCUAAAAUUUAAUGAUUGGUAUUUAAAUUUUUAAGUUGGAAGUUUAUUUAUUUAUUUAUUUUUUUUUGUUGUUCUUGUCUGGUGAGCAGAACAUCCGAAAGAAGCAAGAAAAAGAAGCGGAAGAAAAGUAAAAGAAAGCAAGCGGAGAAACGGAGAAAAUGGCAUCAAGGUUCCUUCUUUGUUGCUACAAAAGAUUAGUAGCUUACAGGAGGUGGGUGGGACCACCUAUCUUGCACAGAGAGAGUUUUGUGGGGGACCCACCCCCACGUAUCACAUCGUUAUCAAAUCUGAUGUUUCCUGAGACCUCACCACCUCCCCCGCGAUCCCAUCCAUCACAAGCAAACCGCCCAUUCAUUCCUUCGGGCCGGGCCCGCCGUACACCGCAAAAUUUUUCCAGAGAAAAGAAGAAAAAUAAGAAAACUAACAAAUAACAGCAGCAACACGAGCAGGAACAAGCGCUCCUAAAAGAAGUUUCACCUGGGUGGCUCUUCAUAGUCUGAGAUUUGGAACGAUGAGUUUUUUUUUUUUUUUUCCAUUUAGUUUGUACAUCUUGCUACCGAUAAGAAGAUUAGUCACAUAGGGCAAUAUGAAAAUGUUUUGAGCAUUCAAAGUACAGUUUGUUAGCGCAUUAUUCCGCUGAAUAUUGAGACUCUAAAGCAAUUGAUCGGAACGUUAUAUAUUCCUUCAAAUCUCGCCUCCGCCGAUUCUACGAGCUGCUCCUGCAAUAGCAUCCAAGCCACAGUUCUUGAGUACUACUUAGUUACAAUACUAGCUAGUGUUUAUCACUAUCUAGGGAUUAACAAAUGCAAUUAAGCUCGGUGCUGCUAAUUACCAAUAAUAAGGUGCCGACGGGGUUGGCUUGCACGCAGUUUGGUUCACUAAACUGAACACUGAUCUCGCCGCCUGCGGCGCCUCUUCCAAUUCCGGAGCGCACUCCAAAUUCACGCCGAACAAUCUCAGCCGCCGCUUCGAGUGCACCACUGGGGCCGCCUCCGCCGCGCCCUCCACGGCUCCGUCACCACCAUCUCCUACAGUUCCAAAGAGCAUCAUAAUUCGUAAGCUAAUCCCUAGCUACAAAUUAAAUUAAAUUAAAUUCACAAGUAUUUACAACAAAAGCAGCAAUUUGCGUGCGUGUUAAAUAGAUCGACGGACCUGCACGAAGAACGCUGCUGUCGUAUGGUUGCACCGAGCCGAGGGAGGCGUACGGACCAGCGGUGGGCGCGGGGGCGGGGCUAAAAUGCGGCGCGGCGGCUGCGGGGUGGGGUACGGGCGGCGGGCUAUCGUGCGGGCGGCGUCGGCGACAGGCAAUGUGGAGGCGGUCGGUGGCGGCGCGCGUGCGCUCGAAGAGGACGACGUCGCCGGCGUCGAGGCGCUUCUCCUUGACGUAGCGGCUCCAGCCUUUGGUGAGCACGUAGCUCUGGCUGCUCGUCCAAUAGGAGUAGCGGAAGCACCAGGGCUUCCCCGACUCGUCCUCGAAGCUCAGCAGCAGGUCCUUGUCGCACGCCUCCGACGCCAGAGGGAAGUGCUUCUCCGCGUGCUGCUUCGGGAUCACCAGCCGGUUCAGCUUCCCCACGUCGCUCGGCGUCAGCGGCUUCUCGAACAGGCGCUCUCUGCACUGUGUCUGUGCAUGGUACUGCUGGGGGUUCAUGCUCAUGGCCUGCGCGUAAUUAGGGAGAGGUGGUUGCUGCUGGUGGUUGGCGGGCAUGGUGGUUAGGGGGAGAGAUCGAGCUAGGGCCGAGGAAUGGUGGAGAUGAUGGGUAUAUAUGGUGUUCAUCAGAAGCAUAUAUGUAGAUAUUAUAUAUUGUGUUGCAUUUACAACCUCUCAAGAAAUGAGGGGAACUUGAAAUAAAAAAAAAAAACCCUUUAUUAAUAUACAGUUAGGAGAAAGAAGAAUAAUGCCGAAGAAUUAACUAGACAUGUAGUAGAUACUAUAUCGAUCUCUAUGUAAAUGUGUGUGUAUAUAUAUAUAUAUAUAUCCUAGAGAGAGAGAGAGAGAGAGAGAGAGAGAGAGAGAGAGAGACCUGGUGAAUGUUUAUCUAUAUUAAUGAAUUAUUAUAUAUAUUAUAUUAUAGAGAACUGUAGGUGGACAGGGAGAAUCAAGGGGUUUAAAGUGUGUAAAAUUAAUUACUAUAUUUAUUUAUUCUAGGGCGGGUGACGAUCGAGGGGGGUUUGAUGAUCAGGCGAGGGUACAUACAAAUUAAGAGAGUGGUGCAUGCCUGACGUGGGCUCAUCCUAGCCGUCCAUUCGGGAGUGCAGAUACAUGUGGGUUGUUGGGAGCUCGAACUCGUGCCUGCAGUGAAACCAGUAGCUGGUACACCUGACUCACUGGCUCUGGUCAUAAUUUGAAAAAAAAAAAAAAAAAAGAGAAAAAAAGGCAAAGAGCUGUUCAUGAAGCAUGUCCUUUAUAAUAGUGCUCAAAUAAUUCGAAGAGAAUUAAACUAUUGCCUCGACCUAUUGCAUCUGUACAUCCCAUGCACUGUUCCAUAUUAUAAUUCGAAGCACUUCUUGAUCAAUUAGAUAAGCUAUAUUAUUACUUCACAUUUUGGAUCAACACAAUAAUUAUCUUAAUUCUAGUGCUUCUUUCUAUUUUUCUUGCUGUGAUAGACAUUAAAAUGAGCAUUUAAUUAGAUGUCAAAUCCAUAAAACUCUAGUUCGGAAUUCAUUUCAAACUCAGUGUACACUUCUGAUUAAUUGGCAAGAUGCCGUCAGCAACUUUUAACAAGAAAAAACAAGAAGAAGAAAAGUUAUUAAAAAUUCUCUAAAUAAUUUUUUUCAAUACUUUUGCCAGAACCUUUAGCUAUAGCAGCUUGUAAUUAACAUGCCCUAGGUGCUUUUCCUUAUCGUAGAUUUUUUUUUUUUUUUUUGUAUUAAAAGAAAGAAGUUCUACAAAGACUAUGGCAUCAUCUGAGCAAUUAAUGUACGCGGUACACACAUUCAAAGUGACAUUUGAAAUAAAUAGCAGGUGUAUCUAAAUCAAACAGCCUAUGGUACUGCUAUAUAUCCUACUUUGAUUUCAAAAAUUUGAGGCAUCUUAGCAAACUUCGUCCGCACAAUGCUAGCUAGCUUUCUUUUGCCAGUCAAAACGUCAGAGAAACUUCAUAACAAGUACGACAAUGAAGCCAUUGUUGAAUUCGGCACCUCACCCCUCCCCACUUUUAAAGUAUUGUACCUCAUAGAGUAGCUAGGGAGAGGUCAAAAACUUCUUAGCUUUAAUGGCUACAACCAGUUCACCGUUCCCACUCAGAUGCAGAUCCAGGUCAACUUGCUUUGGGUUAUUUAAUUUUCUGUACCAUGCACACCAAGGAAUUUUUGAUAAGUUUAGGAAUUAAAUAUUAAUUCCGAGAAGUAAUACAUUGGCCUAGUCUGGUAUUGCGGUGACGGCUGUAGUUGUCAUUAUAAUUUUUUAUCAUCGAAGAGAAAAUAUUGAAAUGCUUUUUUUUUUUUUAUAUUUUUUGAGUCUUCCAAUGUAAAAGUUGGUGUUUUUGGAAAUACGAUCCCAAACUAGCUAGAGUAAAUGUAUGUAUAUAUAUAUAGCGUGAAAUAGCGAUCAGAUGCAUAGUAAAGAUCAGAUAAUAAAAUUAAUAGAUUGAUGUAUAUAUGGCAUGGAAUCAAUAGAUCGAUCUAAUAUAAGAUGUCCCAGAAUAGUGUCCAACAACUGGCACAAAGCAAAUAUUGUAGGGUAUUUCUCACGUGGCACGGCAUUAACGUUCCUGCUUUUCUGGGUAUCCCAAGUUCACAGCACUUAAAAAGAGGAGAUAUUAUAAAAAGGAAAUAAAAAGGAAAUGGGAUCAGAUAGGGCCAGAAGAGAUGGCCUCACUAUAUUCCAAUAAUUAAGCUGGAGAGGAAGAAGAUAAGAUCCUGCCCAAUUUCCCCUUUCUUUUUUAGCUUCUGUCGUGUCCAAUCCGAGAACCUCACAAAACUUCUUAAUUCCACCCCAUAUAUGUAUAAAUUCCCUUUUUUCCACUGUUCUCUUUGUAUGUAUUUGAGUUUCUCCUCCUCUUUUAACUAAUCAUUCAACCCACCACCUGCCCCUUUUUCUAUGGCAUAUACGACACAACAACUGUAGACCUAGCUCUCGGUGGACCACCUUUUGUCUAAGUUUUUUUUUUUUUCUUUUUUAUUUUCCCCCCCCUCCAUGCAUGUACAUCAAUGAAUGGGUAUGUUAUGAACAUUGAAUAUGUAUGAGAUAAAAGAGGAUGGCCUUGUUAUUGAGAUGAGAAAACACACGUAAAUGUUAAAUAUAAAAAAAAAUAACGAUUAUUUCAUAUUAUUUAUUAUCAGUAAACACACUCAUUUUAUUUAAUCAAAGAACUUUUGUUAUAAGGCUAAGUAUCCUCAAAAAUUAUGUAAUUCGAGGACUUGCUCCAUUUUUUUCUUUUUUUUUAUUUUUUAAAAAAUAGCAUGUUAUCGUUUCAUUAAAAAAAAGUUGAACUAGAAAAAAAAUUAGAAAAUUAUUUAAUUACUAUAAGAAAAGUAAACAUCCAAAGGAGUUCACAGAAGGGCAAAAAAGAAAAGGAGAAAAAGAAGUUUAACAGCUGCAGAAUUUUUUAAAAAAUAAAUAAAAAUUAUUAUUCCUACCAACGAAACUAACCGUCGAAAAUAUAACAAAAGAGGUAGAAGGGCUUCGAGUAAAAUCAAGAGUAGAUUGAAUAACUGCAGAGUGAGGACUCAGGUACAACUUAGUCAUACAAAUUAUUGCACUGCAUGCAUAAAUCUCGACUUCUAUUCAGGUUAGUCAAAAAAGGUGGCCACAUAUUAAUGUCCACUAUAAGUCGCACUUUUUGGUUGCCAUUAAGAAGGCUCGGAUUGAUAAAGGAUGGUUAUCCAAAGCGCUUUUGAUUAAGUCCUCGGAAAACUUAUUUACAAGACAUUCUAUCCAUUGAAUUGUUGUAUAUAUGUAUAGAGUAGAGCUAGAAUACUUGUAAAAGUAUCACCCAAGUGAUACUUGUGUGUUUUUAGCCCUUGGAUGGAGAGAUGUGAGGUUGAGAUGAUGGUGGUAGGUGGUGGUAGAUGGUGGUAGGUGGAAUAGUGUUUGAUCCAAGGACUAUUAGUAAUCAAAAAAUAGAUCCAAUGACUAAAAACACACAAGUAUCACUUGGGUGAUACUUGUAAAAGUAUUCUAGCCUUACUCUAUAUGUGUAUAUAUAUAUAGUAUAUAUGGACCGCAACUCAAUUUAAUUUUUCUGCACCGGCCGUCCCUAGAAUAAGUGGCAAAGGGCUUGGUGGUUGGUACCCGAGACCCAAGUUCGAAUCCUAGUUGAUUCAAAUUUCUAACUAAGUUUAUUUUUAAAUAAGAUAAAUGAAGCGGGUAGCAUGCUAUCUAUUUCUUAAAAAAAAAAAUUUAAUUUCUUUGCUAAAUGUUUCUAAAAAUUGAGUAAUAAAGUUAUCUACAACCUUUUUCUUUCUUUCUUUUUCACUCUUUAUUUAUAGUUUUUUUUCUUUUGUGAGAAAAUCCGUAGGUUGUUUAUUAGCAAAUUAAAAGUACAUAAAAAAUGACAAAGAGUUAGAUAAUAGAUGAAUAUGAUCGUAAAGUUGUAUUGGCAUGCAAUAUUAAGAGUAUCUGUAUUUUAAUCUCUUCUAACAUAGGAGAUAGUAAUAUUUGGAUGCAAGUAUAAUAAAUUUCUACGGUCGCUAAUGAGAGGAGCAAAGGGCCCAAUUUGACGACAGUGUGUUAGUAGAAAGAAUAGUAGAAAUUUGAUUCCAAGCAUAAGUGAAGUAUUGCCCACGCCUCUACGGUCCGGCAUGUGCGUGUGUGGCGGACCUGUUUCUUUUUGUAACAGUUGGAAUGUGGACUUGCGUGUAGGAACUGGUCCAGCCCCUGCUCACUAGAGUCGUAGAUAGGUCCCCCUCCCUAUAUAUAUAUAUAGGACUCGGCGUGCUAUUCUCCUCAGGGCCCACCAAAUCCGUGGCCCGUGGGGUGAUGCUACUAUGACCCGCGUGUCUCGAUCGCCACUACGGCGACGUCGGCGAUGGCCCAUUCACAAUAAUUUCAUUGGGUCGUGCAUCAUGUAUAGCUUAAAAAUGCAAACUCCAUGGAUUCAGAAGAAGCGGGAGGAGUUUUUCAUCUAUAUGCCCUCUCUCCAUUUUCUUAGCAAGCCGGAAGUCGAGAAUUGAUUUUUAUCUCUAUGUACCACUCUAUUUAAGGCAGGCCUUGACGAAUUUUUCGCAAAUCGAAGCAGAACAAGAAAAAAAAAAAAAAAAGUCUUUGUCUCCAACUUUAUUUCCUCAACUAAUCAAGACGGAUUCGGAACAGAUCAUUUAUUUAUUUUUAUUUUUUAUCCUCAUUUAUUGCUCCAUCAGUAAUUCUUGUCCGUUAUCGACUGUCUCUAGCGCAAGUGGCAAAGAGCUCGAUGGUUUUUACCCGAAAUUCUAAGCUCAAAUACUAAUUGCUUCAUAUUUUCAAUUAAAUUUAUUUUUUUCAAAAAAUUGAAACAAGUGGUAUACUACUAUCUUUCUUUA